GUGCUCACUACAGCAGCACAUACAAUAAAAUUGAACAAUAUAGAGAAGAUUAAUAUGGCCUAUGACCAAGAUGGCAUGAAAAUUUGUGUAGGAUUGCAUAGUUUU
This 105-nucleotide small nuclear RNA is filed under the name Choloepus hoffmanni (Hoffmann's two-fingered sloth). Lineage: Eukaryota; Metazoa; Chordata; Mammalia; Pilosa; Megalonychidae. The record is from RNAcentral.